CUCUUAUGAUGAUCGGUUUUAAUUAUCAGUUCUGCUACUGAACACUCAUGUGGAAAUCUUCUACCAAAGCUUACCAUGUCUGAUUU
RNAcentral lists this small nucleolar RNA (86 nucleotides) under Diplodia corticola. The record is from RNAcentral. Lineage: Eukaryota; Fungi; Ascomycota; Dothideomycetes; Botryosphaeriales; Botryosphaeriaceae.